This 411-nucleotide ribosomal RNA is filed under the name uncultured bacterium. Its description in RNAcentral is "bacterial SSU rRNA". It matches the Rfam family "Bacterial small subunit ribosomal RNA", at positions 28 to 435 of the family's 1533-position model. The record is from RNAcentral.
GAUGAACGCUGGCGGCGUGCUUAACACAUGCAAGUCGAACGGACGGAUUGGAGCUUGCUCCAUGAAGUUAGUGGCGGACGGGUGAGUAACGCGUGGGUAACCUGCCCUAUGCAGGGGGAUAACGUUUGGAAACGAACGCUAAUACCGCAUAAUCUAGUUGGUUCGCAUGAACCGGCUAGCAAAGAUUUUAUCGGCAUAGGAUGGACCCGCGUUGGAUUAGCUAGUUGGUGAGAUAACAGCCCACCAAGGCAACGAUCCAUAGCCGGCCUGAGAGGGUGAACGGCCACACUGGGACUGAGACACGGCCCAGACUCCUACGGGAGGCAGCAGUGGGGAAUAUUGCACAAUGGGCGCAAGCCUGAUGCAGCGACGCCGCGUGAAGGAUGAAGGUCUUCGGAUCGUAAACUUCUA